GGUGGGGCACUUUAUGAAAGGGGGGGGGGUAAGAGGGAGGAAGGUGUGGAUGACGUCAAGUAGGCAUGGCCCUAACGGGUUGGGCUACACACGUGGUGCAAUGGUGGUGACAAUGGGUUAAUCCCAAAAAACCAUCUCAGUUUGGAUUGGGGUCUGCAACUCGACCCCAUGAAGUCGGAAUCGCUAGUAAUCGCGUAACAGCAUGACGCGGUGAAUACGUUCCCGGGCCUUGUACACACCGCCCGU
Molecule: ribosomal RNA, 246 nt
Filed under: uncultured bacterium
Lineage: Bacteria
Description: partial 16S ribosomal RNA
Rfam family: Bacterial small subunit ribosomal RNA
Source: RNAcentral